UCCCGGGUAGCUCAAUGGCAGAGCAAGCGACUGUUAAUCGCUAGGUUGUCGGUUCGAGUCCGACCCCGGGAGCCA
RNAcentral lists this transfer RNA (75 nucleotides) under Candidatus Edwardsiibacteriota bacterium. RNAcentral describes it as "tRNA-Asn". It matches the Rfam family "tRNA". From Rfam's summary of the family: Transfer RNA (tRNA) molecules are approximately 80 nucleotides in length. The record is from RNAcentral. Lineage: Bacteria; Candidatus Edwardsiibacteriota.